CCCCGUAAUCGGAAUGAGUACACUUUAAAUCCUUUAACAAGGAUCCAUUGGAGGGCAAGUCUGGUGCCAGCAGCCGCGGUAAUUCCAGCUCCAAUAGCGUAUAUUAAAGUUGUUGCGGUUAAAAAGCUCGUAGUUGGUUCUGCGUGCCGCGCUGUCGGUUCGCCGCCUGUCGGUGUAACUGGCAUGUUCGCGGCAUGUCCUGUCGGUGGUGAACAGGGUCCACGAUGCUGCAUUUGGCUUUCAAAGGCCGAUGUUAGCGUUGUGUGUACUUUUGUUGGCCGAUCUCUCCUACUUCGGUGCUCUUAAACGAGUGUCGAGGUAGGCCGACACGUUCACUUUGAACAAAUUAGAGUGCUUAAAGCAGGCUGAAAUAUCUGCCUGAAUAGUGGUGCAUGGAAUGAUAAAACAGGACCUCGGUUCUAUUUUGUUGGUUUUAGGAAUAUGAGGUAAUGAUCAAUGUGGACUGGCGGGGGCAUUCGUAUUGCGACGUUAGAGGUGAAAUUCUUGGAUCGUCGCAAGACGCACUAGAGCGAAAGCAUUUGCCAAGUAUGUCUUAAUUGAUCAAGAACGAAAGUUAGAGGUUCGAAGGCGAUUAGAUACCGCCCUAGUUCUAACCAUAAACGAUGCCAGCCAGCGAUCCGCCGAUGUUCCUUUAAUGACUCGGCGGGGAGCUUCUACCCGGGAAACCAAAGCUUUUGGGUUCCGGGGGAAGUAUGGUUGCAAAGCUGAAAC
RNAcentral lists this ribosomal RNA (732 nucleotides) under Rhodnius ecuadoriensis. RNAcentral's name for it is "SSU rRNA". It matches the Rfam family "Eukaryotic small subunit ribosomal RNA", at positions 501 to 1143 of the family's 1831-position model. Lineage: Eukaryota; Metazoa; Arthropoda; Insecta; Hemiptera; Reduviidae. The record is from RNAcentral.